CCCGGCCUGUCAGUCAGAGUGGCUAGGUACUAGCAGAGGGGCUCCGCCGGGCCCGCGCAGGUAUGGCGGCGGUGUUUGACCUGGACCUGGAGACGGAGGAAGGCAGCGAGGGCGAAGGCGAGCCAGAGUUCAGCCCGGCGGAUGCGUGUCCCCUUGCCGAGUCGAGGGCGGCUGGCCUGGAGCCUGUGGGACACUAUGAGGAGGUGGAGCUGACAGAAACCAGUGUAAACCCGGGCCCUGAGCGCAUUGGGCCCCACUGCUUUGAGCUGCUGCGCGUGCUGGGCAAGGGCAACUACGGCAAGGUGUUCCAGGUGAGAAAGGUGCAGGGCACCAACCUGGGCAAAAUCUAUGCCAUGAAAGUCUUGAGGAAGGCCAAAAUCGUGCGCAAUGCCAAGGACACAGCCCACACCCGGGCUGAGCGGAACAUUCUAGAGUCAGUGAAGCACCCCUUCAUUGUCGAGCUGGCCUAUGCCUUCCAGACUGGUGGCAAACUCUACCUCAUCCUCGAGUGCCUUAGUGACUGAGCAUCCUGAGGGCAGUGGCUGGGUCUCUUCAUCUCUGUGUCCCCAGCUUCACCCAGCACAGGGCCAGGCACCGAGUAGGCGUCGGUAGAUGUUUGCUGAAUUGAAUUGCACCCCACGGCAGCCCUGUGAGGCAGGCGGCGAGCUCUUCACGCGGCUGGAGCGAGAGGGCAUCUUCCUGGAAGACACGGCCUGCUUCUACCUGUCAGAGAUCACGCUGGCCCUGGGCCACCUCCACUCCCAAGGCAUCAUCUACCGGGACCUCAAACCUGAGAACGUCAUGCUCAGCAGCCAGGGCCACAUCAAGCUGACGGACUUCGGCCUCUGCAAGGAGUCUAUCCACGAGGGCACGGUCACCCACACCUUCUGUGGCACCAUCGAGUACAUGGCCCCUGAGAUUCUGGUGCGCAGUGGCCACAACCGGGCGGUGGACUGGUGGAGCCUGGGGGCCCUGAUCCACCCUUCACUGCAGAGAACCGGAAGAAAACCAUGGACAAGAUCAUCAGAGGGAAGCUGGUGCUGCCACCCUACCUCACCCCGGAUGCCCGGGACCUUGUCAAAAAGUUUCUGAAGAGGAAUCCCAGCCAACGGAUUGGGGGUGGCCCAGGGGACGCCGCCGACGUGCAGAAACAUCCCUUCUUCCGGCACAUUAAUUGGGAGGACCUCCUGGCCCGCCGCGUGGACCCCCCUUUCCGGCCCUGCCUGCAGUCGGAGGAGGACGUGAGCCAGUUUGACACCCACUUCACGAGGCAGACGCCGGUGGACAGUCCAGAUGACACGGCCCUCAGUGAGAGUGCCAACCAGGCCUUCCUGGGUUUCACGUACGUGGCGCCCUCCGUCCUGGACAGCAUCAAGGAGGGCUUCUCCUUCCAGCCCAAGCUGCGCUCUCCCCGGCGCCUCAACAGCAGCCCCCGGACCCCCGUCAGCAGGGCUGCCUACUGGGCACCUGACCUCACAGCCUGAGCACCAGGGUGGGAAGUCGGCCCCCCGGCCCUGCGCCAGUAGAGGCUGACUGCUGCCUUGUCGCCUGCAGCCCCCUGAAGUUCUCGCCCUUCGAGGGAUUCCGGCCCAGCCCCGGCCCGCCAGAUCCCAUGGAGCCCCCUCUGCCUCCUCUCCUGCCCCCGCCGCCUCCCCCGCCGCCCUCAAGCACUGCCCCCCUCCCCAUCCGACCCCCCUCAGGAACCAAGAAGUCCAAGAGGGGCCGCGGGCGCCCUGGGCGCUAGGAGGACAGGUGGGGAGGCGGGCAGCGUGGAGACCCCUCCCUCUCUGGUGGGACCCUGGGCCAGUUCCAGAGACCUGGGGCUGAGUCCAGGGUACAGGAUUGCAUGUGCGUGAGCGUGUGUCUCUGUUGGGGGCGGCUGUGCCCUUGAAUCUUGAACGCCAAGGGCCGCCGGCUGUGGCUGAGGGCAUCCCCCUGGCCUCCCGCAGUUGAGCUAUGCCCUUGGAGAAUUAAAAGUUUUGAAUCGUGGCA
Sus scrofa (pig) is the source of this 1992-nucleotide non-coding RNA. NCBI's taxonomy places the organism in Eukaryota, Metazoa, Chordata, Mammalia, Artiodactyla, Suidae. The record is from RefSeq and is a predicted model, not a curated record.